UACGUAGGGCGCAAGCGUUGUCCGGAAUUAUUGGGCGUAAAGAGCUCGUAGGCGGUUUGUCGCGUCUGCUGUGAAAACCUGAGGCUCAACCUCGGGCUUGCAGUGGGUACGGGCAGACUAGAGUGCGGUAGGGGGUGACUGGAAUUCCUGGUGUAGCGGUGGAAUGCGCAGAUAUCAGGAGGAACACCGAUGGCGAAGGCAGGUCACUGGGCCGCAACUGACGCUGAGGAGCGAAAGCAUGGGGAGCGAACAGG
This 254-nucleotide ribosomal RNA is filed under the name uncultured bacterium. RNAcentral describes it as "partial 16S ribosomal RNA". It matches the Rfam family "Bacterial small subunit ribosomal RNA", at positions 524 to 776 of the family's 1533-position model. The record is from RNAcentral.